UCGGAGAAGGCUAGGCCAGCUUGGCGUUGGUUGUCCAAGUUUAAGGUGGUAGGCUGAAAUCUUAGGUAAAUCCGGGGUUUCAAGGCCGAGAGCUGAUGACGAGUCGUCUUUUAGAUGACGAAGUGGUUGAUGCCAUGCUUCCAAGAAAAGCUUCUAAGCUUCAGGUAACCAGGAACCGUACCCCAAACCGACACAGGUGGUCGGGUAGAGAAUACCAAGGCGCUUGAGAGAACUCGGGUGAAGGAACUAGGCAAAAUGGCACCGUAACUUCGGGAGAAGGUGCGCCGGCUAGGGUGAAGGAUUUACUCCGUAAGCUCUGGCUGGUCGAAGAUACCAGGCCGCUGCGACUGUUUAUUAAAAACACAGCACUCUGCAAACACGAAAGUGGACGUAUAGGGUGUGACGCCUCCCCGGUGCCGGAAGGUUAAUUGAUGGGGUUAGCGCAAGCGAAGCUCUUGAUCGAAGCCCCGGUAAACGGCGGCCGUAACAAUAACGGUCCUAAGGUAGCGAAAUUCCUUGUCGGGUAAGUUCCGACCUGCACGAAUGGCGUAACGAUGGCGGCGCUGUCUCCACCCGAGACUCAGUGAAAUUGAAAUCGCUGUGAAGAUGCAGUGUAUCCGCGGCUAGACGGAAAGACCCCGUGAACCUUUACUGUAGCUUUGCACUGGACUUUGAGCCUGCUUGUGUAGGAUAGGUGGGAGGCUUUGAAGCGUGGACGCCAGUUCGCGUGGAGCCAUCCUUGAAAUACCACCCUGGCAUGCUUGAGGUUCUAACUCUGGUCCGUAAUCCGGAUCGAGGACAGUGUAUGGUGGGCAGUUUGACUGGGGCGGUCUCCUCCUAAAGAGUAACGGAGGAGUACGAAGGUGCGCUCAGACCGGUCGGAAUUCGGUCGCAGAGUAUAAAGGCAAAAGCGCGCUUGACUGCGAGACAGACACGUCGAGCAGGUACGAAAGUAGGUCUUAGUGAUCCGGUGGUUCUGUAUGGAAGGGCCAUCGCUCAACGGAUAAAAGGUACUCCGGGAUAACAGGCUGAUACCGCCCAAGAGUUCAUAUCGACGGCGGUGUUUGGCACCUCGAUGUCGGCUCAUCACAUCCUGGGGCUGAAGCCGGUCCCAAGGGUAUGGCUGUUCGCCAUUUAAAGUGGUACGCGAGCUGGGUUUAGAACGUCGUGAGACAGUUCGGUCCCUAUCUGCCGUGGACGUUUGAGAUUUGAGAGGGGCUGCUCCUAGUACGAGAGGACCGGAGUGGACGAACCUCUGGUGUUCCGGUUGUCACGCCAGUGGCAUUGCCGGGUAGCUAUGUUCGGAAAAGAUAACCGCUGAAAGCAUCUAAGCGGGAAACUUGCCUCAAGAUGAGAUCUCACUGGGAACUUGAUUCCCCUGAAGGGCCGUCGAAGACUACGACGUUGAUAGGCUGGGUGUGUAAGCGUUGUGAGGCGUU
This 1439-nucleotide ribosomal RNA is filed under the name metagenome. Its description in RNAcentral is "bacterial LSU rRNA". It matches the Rfam family "Bacterial large subunit ribosomal RNA", at positions 1472 to 2887 of the family's 2925-position model. The record is from RNAcentral.